Molecule: ribosomal RNA, 446 nt
Filed under: uncultured bacterium
Lineage: Bacteria
Description: partial 16S ribosomal RNA
Rfam family: Bacterial small subunit ribosomal RNA
Source: RNAcentral
CCUACGGGCGGCAGCAGUCGAGAAUCAUUCACAAUGGGGGAAACCCUGAUGGUGCGACGCCGCGUGGGGGAAUGAAGGUCUUCGGAUUGUAAACCCCUGUCAUGUGGGAGCAAAUUAAAAAGAUCGUACCACAAGAGGAAGAGACGGCUAACUCUGUGCCAGCAGCCGCGGUAAUACAGAGGUCUCAAGCGUUGUUCGGAAUCACUGGGCGUAAAGCGUGCGUAGGCUGUUUCGUAAGUCGUGUGUGAAAGGCGCGGGCUCAACCCGCGGACGGCACAUGAUACUGCGAGACUAGAGUAAGGGAGAGGGAACCGGAAUUCUCGGUGUAGCAGUGAAAUGCGUAGAUAUCGAGAGGAACACUCGUGGCGAAGGCGGGUUCCUGGACAUUAACUGACGCUGAGGCACGAAGGCCAGGGGAGCGAAAGGGAUUAGAUACCCUUGUAGUC